Molecule: long non-coding RNA, 459 nt
Filed under: Oryza sativa (Asian cultivated rice)
Lineage: Eukaryota; Viridiplantae; Streptophyta; Magnoliopsida; Poales; Poaceae
Description: long non-coding RNA (OSAT_LNC001474)
Source: RNAcentral
CUUCCCUACUUGCUGCGCCCCAUCUUCCUCUCGUGGCGGCAUCCGGUUAUGCAUCUGGGCUACAGCUCAGCUCAAGUAGUUGACGGGGGCGGAGUGGCCUCGGCAGCGGCGUGGAGUGGAUUCGACGGUGAUGAUCUGCUUCCGAGCCAAGUCUGAUGCCGUGCACGGCCGCCUCCUGGUUCUCUUCCGCACGCAGCCAAGGCCACGACAGCGAGCCUCAACCUUGCGUGGCCCACGAGAAGCAGGCGCAAGGCCGGUUCAGGGUGACGGCUAGGGUGCGUGCAUGGUGGUGCUAAUUCUGUGCUCGCAUCACAUGAUGGCGGUGAUUUGCCAAAUUGGUAAGCCAUCAAUCUGAUUUGCUUAGGGAUUUACCCAGAAAUUUGAGUUCUAAAUUUGGGUAUUUUUUCGUUUUAGGGUUUUGAAAUCAUGCAACGUGCGGCCGAAGAUAGAAACCGGUGA